This 1003-nucleotide long non-coding RNA is filed under the name Vulpes vulpes (red fox). Its description in RNAcentral is "lncRNA (ENSVVUG00000018848.1)". The record is from RNAcentral. Lineage: Eukaryota; Metazoa; Chordata; Mammalia; Carnivora; Canidae.
GCAAGGUUUCAUUCUCCAGCAGGAGACAUGGGGCAGAGCCCAGCAAUUAUGUGCUGAUGGCCGUCAACCUAGCUCAUCCUGGGGACAGAGAUUCCAGCCCCGGCAGCCGUCAGAAUAUAAAUAUAUAUAUUCAUGAGAGUCAAAAGGUAAUUUCUACGUGUCUCAAAUUGCAUCCUAUCUUUCCCUUCUCAAUUUUUCUCUCCUGCGGAACAUAAAAUUAAAGGCUUCAGAAUAUUACACCUUUUAGUAGUUACCAGGUGACAGGGAAUCAAGGUGUCAAGGUUAUUGACAGACCUGACGUGUUGAACUUGGCUUUGGAGUAUCCCUUUAUCAGAGCUACCAUCGGGGCACUUUGCAACCCCGUCCCAGAGACCAUAAUAAUUAAUUUAGGCACAACACAACCACAGUGGAAACUCCUACAAACAGUUUUGCCGGCACGCCUUCAGAACAUUUGGGGCUCCCUGGGAUUCCACUUCAUUGGAGGUCAGAGGUGAUAGGGCUUGGGGUUCAGAAUCAGGCCUUUCUACCAAGACAACCUGGCACACGUCCUGGCUCUGUCCCUUCUCAGCUUUGUGGCCGUGGACCUGUCACUUGCUUCUAAGAAGUUUGGUUUCUUCCACCGCAGAUUGGGGGCAAAACUUGUUCCAACAGCAUGAGACUUCUCUGACAUCUCAAGGAUCCCAUUUCCCGCCUUUAUUUUGUGCUGGGCACUGAGGACAGGAUGGAGACCCAGCUGGGUGGGUCCCUGCUGUCCACCAUGCAGCAUGUACAUGCUAGAAAAACCACAGGCUCCCAACCUGACGCCGCUGCUGAUCCAUGGACCAAACUGAAUAACAAGUAUCUAGAGCCAAGCCGCCCAGCCUGGCAGGUACUGGCUACGUGCAGCCACUGAGCUCUUGAGAUGUGGCUCAUCCAAAUUGACAUGUGCCUUCCAUGUGACAUACACACCAGAUUUCAAAGACUCUGUGACCCCAAAGUGUAAACUAUCUCAUUAAUAAUUUUU